UGGCAGUUGAUAGACUGAACAAGGAUAUUUACAGACUGGGAGGAUGGAAUAACCACAGAAGUAUCAGGCCUAGUGGGUGUCUACUACCAAUAUUUACAGUAGAGGCUCAUAGGACCUGGGUACCUCCAUUUGAUGCCACACGGUCCCCGGAAGUCUGGUGCACCUGAGAAGCACAGAGCGCGGUAACGGGUCUGCUGGACAAGCGGUUGGGGUGUGAGGACCACGAGACCCACGUCCCUGUCUGCGUGCUCAUGGUAUCCUCUGGUAUUGUCCAUUCAAAGCACAAGUCCCAGCAUCCCUGAGAGUUUCAGGUGGAGAAGGACAAGGCCACACAAGCUGUAAGCCCCUUACAAACCUAAGGCUGAAGGGGCUUCAUGAGGAAAAGUGUUUGGGGAGAACAUGUC
This 404-nucleotide long non-coding RNA is filed under the name Dasypus novemcinctus (nine-banded armadillo). RNAcentral describes it as "lncRNA (ENSDNOG00000050594.1)". The record is from RNAcentral. Lineage: Eukaryota; Metazoa; Chordata; Mammalia; Cingulata; Dasypodidae.